Molecule: transfer RNA, 86 nt
Filed under: Elusimicrobia bacterium ADurb.Bin231
Lineage: Bacteria; Pseudomonadati; Elusimicrobiota
Description: tRNA-Leu
Rfam family: tRNA
About the family: Transfer RNA (tRNA) molecules are approximately 80 nucleotides in length.
Source: RNAcentral
GGGCGAGUGGCGGAAUUGGCAGACGCACGGGACUUAAAAUCCCGAGUUCUGUAAGGAACGUGAGGGUUCAAGUCCCUCCUUGCCCA